RNAcentral lists this long non-coding RNA (2098 nucleotides) under Sus scrofa (pig). RNAcentral describes it as "lncRNA (ENSSSCG00000056222.1)". The record is from RNAcentral. Lineage: Eukaryota; Metazoa; Chordata; Mammalia; Artiodactyla; Suidae.
UACACUACAGUACAAUCAUAGAUACAAAGGCCCAGACAUGUACAUAAGGUAUUUCUCAAAUACAUGAGACUGCAUGCUUUACGUUACAAUAAUAUUUUUACUAUUUGCAAUUAUAUAACUUCAUUAUACAGUAAGACAAUCUGUAAUAACCCUUUGAAUUUUUAAUAGUGUAAUGUUAGCCUGUGGUGUGAUAGCACAUUUUUGGUGAACUUUUGGAAUACCUGUAUUUUUCACAUUCCAUACAAAGAAAAGGACUAGAUAAGAAAUUUGAAUUUUAAUCCUAAACUCUCAAUUAAUUAAGUCCUGUGCCCAUUGGCAAGUUACUAAAUUCUCUAAACCUCAGGCUCUUUAGCUUCAGAUCAGUUGAAGAAAUGCAUGUAGAACACUUAUUCUAUGAAAUAGUGAUUCCUGUUGCUGCUGUGUCCCUUCACUGAUACAAGUAUUCUAAGUGUGGACAAUCAUACACACAUACACAAUAACCACUGUUAGUCUCCAGAACUGAUAGAUAAAUAUAACCAUGUGAUAGUUAAUGUGAUCAUAUAUCCAUAAAUAUAUAUAUAUAUAUGCUUUGGAAAUAUAUGUUUAUAGUAUACAUGUGUAUACAUAUAUAUUUUUUAUGUAAAAGUACAAGUUCAAAAAAACGUAGUAUUCCACAGGAGGGGUAAUUUUUUAAUGUAUUUCCUAAUAUAUGGAAUAAUUAGUAUAUAUACCAAUAUACUAUACUAAUUAGUAUGUAUAUUAAUAUAAUUUUUAUUCUUACAUAUUUUUAUUCAUUCAGUAGGCUGUGCCUAAAAACACAAUUCAAGACGAUGAACACUCUUUCUAGUUACUUGAUCCAAUUUAACUUCAUUAUCCAGUAAAUAAAUCUCUCUACAUGGCUGGAAUCAUGACAAUCACCAUUAGUGGGACUGCAGACUGUCUUGGAUAACAGGGUUAUUUUAGGCAUGUAGACAAGUGGGGCACCUUUGAAUUAAAGACUUUCAUAUAUUACCCAAUUCUUCCUUAAAAAAGAAUUUGUGGCAGAACAUAAUCAGGAGAAGACUUAAGUAAAUUAAUGCUGUAAACUCCUCCUCCCAGUGUGUUAACAAAAGUCAUUGCACUAAGGCUUUUGGAGUAUCCAAAAUUGUUUAGCUAUUUAUCAUCAAAUUUUGGGAUGGUCACCCAUAACUCUGGACCUUAUUUUUUUAAUUAUCACAAGUGUGGUAGAUACUAAAUAUAUUUUUUGUCUUUUUUUGUUUUUGUUGUUGUUAUUGUUGCUAUUUCUUGGGCCGCUCCCGCAGCAUAUGGAGGUUCCCAGGCUAGGGGUUGAAUCAGAGCUUUAGCCACCAGCCUACGCCAGAGCCGCAGCAACGCGGGAUCCGAGCCGCGUCUGCAACCUACACCACAGCUCACGGCAACGCCGGAUCCUUAACCCACUGAGCAAGGGCAGGGAUCGAACCCGCAACCUCAUGGUUCCUAGUCGGAUUCGUUAACCACUGCGCCACGACGGGAACUCCCUAAAUAUUUGUUGAAUGAAGGAACAAACCUCCAUUGUAAUAAUAUGAAGUGUUUGGAUAUUUAAUAUUUGUAUUGUACUUUAUUUUUGCAUUUAAACGUAAGAAGAUUAUGCUACUUGGAAGAGUUUGUUUAAUUAAGAUACGCCAUAAGAAGUGAGCAUUUCUGAGAAAAGAUGGAGUAUAUUUUUAUAUCUUCUAUUUGUUACGGAUUGGAAUAACAAUGGAAAUUGUCAAGAACGGAGGGGAAAUGAAAACUUCAGGUUGUGCUUUUAUUAUACUUGUUUUUAAACUGCAAAGAUGGGGACAAAUUUCUAUCAGCCAGCUGAGGAAAAAUGCUCUGCUUUGUUGAUAAAUAUGGAGUAAGAUAUGGAUUUAUCUUUAACAUGAACCAUGCCUGAGAGGGGAGAUAUCCAAAUGGGGGUUAAGGGCUGUCAGAUGGGGCCUUUGUAUUUAUUAGUUAGAACCAAGAAAGGCUACGAGAGUGCAGAAGCUAUUUGCUUUGAUGUUUAACUUUGAAAAGGGAAUUUACCAGCAGAGAGAUUCACUGGAGAGAUAAAGGGAGAAGGUUAGGGUUAGGUAGGAUAUGUAAUGAGGAGAAAUGG